Molecule: small RNA, 29 nt
Filed under: Bombyx mori (domestic silkworm)
Lineage: Eukaryota; Metazoa; Arthropoda; Insecta; Lepidoptera; Bombycidae
Description: ovarian small RNA-8921
Source: RNAcentral
UGUAGCGCUCUUUUAAGUUUGGAUCCUUC